Molecule: long non-coding RNA, 1503 nt
Organism: Pseudophryne corroboree (corroboree frog)
Lineage: Eukaryota; Metazoa; Chordata; Amphibia; Anura; Myobatrachidae
Exons: 5
Source: RefSeq, a predicted model, not a curated record
CUUAAUUUAUUCAUGUGUGUGCCGCAAUGCCAGAUGGGGCGGCAAAUUCAAAUGUGCUCUUCUACUCUAUGUGACUGUGUACAUUGCUGCCUGGCCGGCCGCCCUGUUACACCUGAAGCUGCCACACAGUAGCAGCAGCACAGGACAUGUGACAGGAAGACAGAGCGGGCAGCUAGUCGCCCCUGCCUGUCCCCAUCACGAUUGCCUCUCAGCAGUGACAACCUCGGCAGAGUGUUCCUGGACGAGGCUCCCAGCAGCGCUGUGCACUAGUGAUUCAUGCGCUCGCUGGGACCGGUGCAAAGACUGCAGUUCGCCGGCGGGUAGCCUGAUCUGUGUAACCCGCUGGAUCUGCAGUGACUGGCUUCCACUACCUGCGGGGGCAUGAGAAUCGGAGGUUACCAGCAGCUACUAAGGAUCCUCUGUGACCCUAUCUCCCGCUCUAUGCUCCUCCUCUACCUGACACUCAUGUGCUCCAAGAGCCGGGAGGGCACCGGCCACCUGUACCGCCCCCUGCUGAUGACAGUAUUUUGGGUGUGGGUGGGUUACUAUGGUGCGAGUGCCGGGCAGGAGGCACAGGACACAUGCCCACUGUCAGCGCUCGUCAUAUGCUCCAGAGUCCUGGCCCUAGCUAUAGGCAACUACCUAGGACAUGGGGAAAUCCUAGGGCCUGCAGAGCAGCACGGCAUACUACUGUCAGUGUCAGCACAGCUGAAAGUGAAACUACAGAGGAGUCCGAUCAGGGGGCGUGGCUACACGGGUCACUGCUGCCUUCCUGCAAUGUGGGAAACUGAGGGGAGGAAUGGCUCUGAGCUGCAAUACUGGACAUUGUGAUAUGCUGCCAUGUAAUUGUCAUGUGUUAAGCAGCUGCCCGGGAUCUGCCACCACGAGGAGCCUGACUGCCAGCGAGGAGAGAUGGGCCGGCCUGACCAUUACAUCGCGGAGAGUACCAUAUGUGGAGGGUGCUGCUGCUGCCUUCUCAUGUCCUCCCGAGGUGUGCUCGCACACCUGCUGCACUGCUUAAAGAGAGAGCCUGGAUCACAGGGUGAGAUUUUGCGGAACAAGCAUGAUUGUACUCCAGCUAAACAUAGACCAACAAUCCGACCUCACUCUCCUCUCAAGGUCGCAGUUAGUUGUUAGACAAAGAAGUGACUUCAGUUAAUAAAGAAUUGGAAAAUAUUCCAGAAGAAUAUGUCAAUGAGACUGCAUAUGUGCUGAACAAAUUGACAAAAUAGCAUAACAAACAGAUGUAUGCAAAAUAUAGUGUAUGUAGGGUUGUCUGGGAGCAUGCUUGAGAUCAAUAGCUGCAAAAGGGUCCAGUCUUCUAUUAUUCAAACUCAUGUAUGUUAUUUACAAAACAUAAAAUUAAAUUGUGGUGAAAUGUUUGCUGUUUGUUCCAAUGAAUUGUAUACAAUAAAUAAUUUGUAGGGAAAGAGUAAUGAAACAUUGUACUACGGAAUAUUCAUUAAACUCCUGUUAAGAACUAGGACUAUUAUAGUGAGUACU